RNAcentral lists this ribosomal RNA (439 nucleotides) under uncultured bacterium. RNAcentral's name for it is "partial 16S ribosomal RNA". It matches the Rfam family "Bacterial small subunit ribosomal RNA", at positions 338 to 795 of the family's 1533-position model. The record is from RNAcentral.
CCUACGGGCGGCAGCAGGAGGGAAUAUUGCGCAAUGGGGGAAACCCGGAAGCAGCAACGCCGCGUGGAGGAUGAAGGUUUUCGGAUUGUAAACUCCUUUUGUUAGAGAAGAGAAUGACGGUAUCUAACGAAUAAGCACCGGCAAAUCGCGUGCCAGCAGCCGCGGUAAUACGGAGGGUGCAAGCGUUACUCGGAAUCACGGGGCGUAAGAGCGCGUAGGCGGGAUAGCAAGUCAGAUGUGAAAUCCUAUGGCUUAACCAUAGAACUGCAUUUGACACUGUUAUUCUAGAGUAUGGGAGAGGUAGGUGGAAUGCUUGGUGUAGAGGUGAAAUCCGUAGAGAUCAAGAGGAAUACUGAUUGCGAAGGCGGCCCGCUAGAACGUAACUGACGCUGAUGCGCGAAAGCGUGGGGAGCAAACAGGAUUAGAUACCCUAGUAGUC